RNAcentral lists this ribosomal RNA (497 nucleotides) under uncultured bacterium. RNAcentral describes it as "partial 16S ribosomal RNA". It matches the Rfam family "Bacterial small subunit ribosomal RNA", at positions 28 to 507 of the family's 1533-position model. The record is from RNAcentral.
GAUGAACGCUGGCGGCGUGCCUAAUACAUGCAAGUCGAGCGAACAGACGAGGAGCUUGCUCCUCUGACGUUAGCGGCGGACGGGUGAGUAACACGUGGAUAACCUACCUAUAAGACUGGGAUAACUUCGGGAAACCGGCGCUAAUACCGGAUAAUCUAUUGAACCGCAUGGUUCAAUAGUGAAAGACGGUUUUGCGGUCACUUAUCGAUGGAUCCGCGCCGCAUUGGCUAGUUGGUAAGGUAACGGCUUACCAAGGCAACGAUGCGUAGCCGACCUGAGAGGGUGAUCGGCCACACUGGAACGGAGACACGGUCCAGACUCCUACGGGAGGCAGCAGUAGGGAAUCUUCCGCGAUGGGCGGAAGCCUGACGGAGCAACGCCGCGUGAGUGAUGAAGGGCUUCGGAUCGUAAAACUCUGUUAGUAGGGAAGAACAAAUGUGUAAGUAACUAUGCACGUCUUGACGGUACCUAAUCAGAAAGCCACGGCUAACUACGUG